GUAGACGCCAUGUUUUGCGCGCGCACUGAACGAUAAUUCUACAGAAACCAGAACUUUACUUACUUCAUUAUCAGCUAUAUGUGUUUUCUUUUUGUACAGUACUUUGAGCCUUCCUUUGAUGGUGGGGGUGUGAGGUGCAGCAUUUGUCUUUCGCCUAGGACGCAACACAGCCUGGCACCUGUCCUGAUCCCAGAAGCCAUGGCACGUGUAGAUGAUCUCAUCUUUCUCCACUCGGGAGGGACUGUGACCCCAGGCGGAGACGGAGACAGCCCCAUGUAGCAUCACAGAUACGAACUUUUCUUUUUUAUUAUACUUCUUACAAAAAUAACGUUUUGUUGCUUAAAGUAAAUGAGUAAGUUAUAAUUACAGAAAAUAACAGCGGAAAGAUCGAGCUGGCUGGACUUUCCAUACGCCGCCCACAAGAUGUGGCUAUUCACAGUUCUCUACACUAGGAGAUUUAUUUAUUUGUUUUUAAUAGUUAAAUACAAUCAAACAAUCCAUUCCGUUAUUAGCAACAAGGAUGCAUGGCAUCUUUUUGGUUGGUGUGAUGAUGUAGAUGCUCGUUAACAGGUUGUCUUAAUUAUCGCUCACCAAUUUUGCAAUUAAGACAAGAAUUACACAAUGUUUCCAGCCACAGUGCUUGUGCAUACGUAUGUCAGUAUACGUGUAUGUCAGAGUGUAUGGGGGAGAAGGGAGUUUUUAUUUAAAACAAUCGACAGUUUGAUUGCAUCACUAUGUGACGCCUUCGAGUAAUGCGUUCAUAAUGUCUUUUUAUAUUUUUUGACCAGUCACAUGACUGAGCAAAUGUUGUGCAAAGAAGAAAUAUCCGCAAUCUCUCCCUGCAUCCGUUACACGUCCUUGCAUUCACCUCUAAGUUUGUUUUUUGUUUUUGUGUGUGGGUGUGGGACAUGUUAAUGGUGACAACUGAGCCAGACUCAUGAAGUGGAGGUAAACCUAUCUCGUGGAUAUCGUCCGGUGUUACGUUGAGACAUUUUCACGACGUGCCGGGCUCGAAGGCAACUACACCGCAGAAGAUGCCGAUGCCAUGAAGGAAGAUAAUUCAGAUGAUUUGUUGUUUCAAUUAAAUAGAGGACAACUAUACGAUCCUACUAACAUGGGAUGAGUACAUCUGGAAUCAAAAGAUAAAUUGCUAAUGGUGGAAGCAGAAGCAUAUAAAUCUUCAAACAAUACGAUACUGAAAGGAAUUUCACCAGAGAUAGAGCAAAUGUGGACAAUCAGAUGUUCGCAUUACUAGUGGACGAAACUUAGCUAACGAACUUCUGAUGCACAAGCUAUUAAUAAAAACAAUUAAAGUUUGAUAUCACGUCUCAGUUUUCGUAUUCUGAUUUUGAUUAAUAUUAACGUGCAGGCCCGUUCUUAGCUCCCGCUGGGGCCCGAGGCAUAGGGCAUUGCGGGGUCCUCGAUGCCACGGUUUUUGUUACGACCUUGUUACCAUAUCAACUAAAAGCGCGGGGCCCCUGACGACUGUCAAAAGCGCGGGCCAAAUGUAAAAUACAAACCCCUUUUUAAGAACUUUCGAAUAAUUGUAGUGACCUUUGACAAUGUCCGCUGGUUACAAAGGUCAUUUUAAUCCAUUUCAAUGAUGCUGGAGCCAAGUAGAGAAGUGUUCACUGUUCAUAUUCCUAGAUCUAUUAUUUGAAACAUACAGAACUAUUAUUUCUGUACUUGGGAUGUUUGUAAGGGCACGUGAUGUUUUUCAUGGUGCAUAAUUUAAAAAAAAAGACUUCAAUCAAAGAGGUGUAACAAGAGAACCCACUGUUCUUAGAGAGCUUGAAGUCAAGCGGCGGUCACGGGGGCCAUACUCCCCCUUGGGCGAAGUAAAUGUCGCUAGCCUUUGUUCUGACGAUCGUGUGCCUGCAGCUUUGGUGUAACACGCGCGCGAACACACACACACAGUGAGUUUUUACCCCUUUGUCAUAAUCUCGCGGACCGUGGCCAUGUCAACCAGCGCCUUAUGUUCCAUAAGUGAUCGACCGAUUGUCUUUUCAUGUGCCACGUGGGUGAUGUUCGAGGGUUGGGGGUUUUUUUUCUGCAUCAUCGAGUUCGUAGCGAUCCUGAUAGUUUGAGAGUGUGACCUGGGUCGCGGCGCAUGUGGUGAGCACAUAUAUUUUGUUUGAAAUUAUUUAAGUUGAAAAGUACGGUUGCAUGGAGAUUUCAAUAGCAUUUCAGGAGGCCUUAAAUAAGGGCGAGACUUACAGGGAGUUUUAUUGAAGCCAACUGUUGAUGUAUGUUCCUACUGUUCGUUCCUAGUGCAGACGUUCUCUCUCAGUCCGCCCCCUCGACUUUAAGGUCUCAGUAAGGAACUCGAUACCUUAAUCGCCCCCCUCAAAGCCACGCUACUGUGUGUGCACAUAUUUAUGAUUCCUCCCGCUUAUUCAUCCUUCCCCUUUAGUUUUGUAAUGACUUCUUACCAGGAUGUGAGGCAGUUCUUUUCUUUCGUGGGUGUGAUCGUGUAUUUUUUAAAAAAAAAUUACCUGUGUGAAUAAAUUUGUUUUUUGUACCGUUGAUUUCGUCUUCGUUGUGGUCUACGUUCAUCAGUGGUUCGAUAGGUACGUCGUGUCCCUGCUCCGGCCGAGCGAGUGGCUGUGUGAUCGUGGAUCCAGCGACGCUGAGGGUGAUCCCGACAAUUUACUUAAAAAAUCAGCAACUUCUCCAAUUUAGAAAAAAAGACCGAGAACAUUUCAAACAUACAUUAGCAAUAGUUUUUCAAGUAACUCUUAUUAGUCAAAUUUUUGGACACAAAGAGAUUAUAGUUGCUACAUAUCUAAGACCUCUCCUCAUACACAAUGCCUCCGCAAAAUAUACUAAUUUUGUAUGUCUAUGCUGAAGUUUAACACGUUCAUUUUUUUUUCCAUUUGUGGACUCAGCAGUGUGUAGUGUUUCCUUUAAACACAAAAUGCAGCCGCGAAUGUAAAAAAAACUGGGCGAGGAGAUUGCAUGCUUUGUCUGUAUUUGCUGAAGGGAGACAUUACAAACUCGACUUCUGCUCAAAACGUUUCAGAAGUAGAGCUCUCACUCGGUCCACGUAGAACAAAUGUUCAGAUUUCCUGAACAUAAUUUUCAGUUUCUCCACCAUCGUCGCCAGCUGAGAUGUUAGGAGGACUAGCCCAUCGUGUUGCCUGAAGUACUUGCUUGACUGAUGGAGAGGUGUAUGUGCGGUGAAUACUGGUGUCCAGCAUCAAGAGAAAGUAUCUCCGUAUUUGAUGCAGUUGCUCCUUGCACACAGCAUGAUGAGACCCAUCACCAUCAUUGGCUCAGAGAGAACAAAAUCGGCUCUGUCUUGGGUUUGCAUGGAAGUACGAUUCCGCCUGGUAUAGUAGAUCGCUUCACCAACAAUUCUGCACCUACUUCUUGCAUCUACGGAAAUGACAACACAAGACUAGGAAAACUAGAAAUCACCACCAGGUGUGGCAAAACGGUAAAUGAAGGAAUGAAGGAGUGGCCGUGGUGGAAUACGGAACAUCAUGGUUUCACUUUCCUGCCUCAGUGGCUUUUCUUGCUAAGCCUCUUUGCUCCAACUGUGUACUGCUCCAUUGUGUUGUGUUAAAAAUGUCCUGAAAGUUUCGUAUUGGUAAUAAGCCAAACAAAAGUCAUUAAAUAUGUCUUAAUAAUUACAGAGUUUAUAAAGCGCCCACUCUUGCAAUAGCAAUUCAAGACGCUAUGCACUUAUGUACGCAAUUUAUGAUACAAUAAAGAGAUAUGUACAUGAAAAAUAAAUACAAGAAUGUGUACACAGUCUACCCCCUAGCAUGUACAGGAAGGUCAAUGCUAUGGUAAGAGAAAAGGAUAAGAAGCUUUGUUUUUAGCACGUUGAUGGAUGGCAGAGCCAGGAAGUGCAAAGAGAAGAGAGUUGCUGUACUCAAUACCAGAGAAGACAGGAAGGAAAACAGGUUUAAUGGUUUGUUGACUCUUUGUUUCCUGCACUUGAAAAUUUUUUUAAAAAGUGACUUUCCAUCUGCCUGCAUACUGUUUCUAGUGUCCUAUUUUUCCACGAUAAUUAAAGAAUGUGUAUUAAAAAAAGUUCCAUUGGUAUUGAAUAGCUUUUCAGCACUGAAUUACAAACAGAACUGACCUGCACCUAAAAUUUUAUAACGACACCAGCUGUCUGUUAACUGCCUGUCUUGAUCUUCCAAAUAAUCGAACGGCAGAAUACUACUGAGUCUAAACGCCUUUCUGAGCUGAACAUACUCCACGCAUUACUCAGCCAUUUGACAGAUAUAGGCCUUGCUCUGCAGUGACUCGAAUUUUCAGCAUCAAUACUUUGUGGUAACUUAUAAAAAGUUUGUAUUAGUAAAUGUGUAAAAGCAACAUCAUAUUGUAUUAGAUGCAAGUAAGCAUUAGUUUUAUUAGGGUAUGAUUAAACGUCCGUUUUAGUCCCAAAAUGUUAGAGAAUGCUCUUCUCUUAAAAACCUUUAAAAAAACUGGACAGAAUUUUUUGGGAAUUGGGGGUGUUUAUUUUAUUUUCCUUGUUUGUAAAGAAUCAUUUUCUGUGACUAUUUGUAGCCUCACCCAGUUGGUUGAGGGAAAAUAGAGUUUUGUUGGACAUCUUUUUUUUUCUUUUUUUUUUUUUAAAUAAGAUGUCGAAUGCGUGUGGGGCCAAAGCAGUUGUGGCACAGAAUCAAUUCGUAACUCAAGAAGCCUUCUUUAGUCGCGAAUCUUUGGAAACACCUGCUUGCCUUCAGUGCCUGUAAAAAUUUGUGAGAUGGAUCGCUGAUGAUUGUUUUCUUUACGAGAAUCUUAGAGCCUUAGUGGGGUGUGAUUAUUUUUGUCUUUUAAUGACUGGGCAAAGUUUAGAGCAAGAUAUUAUUUCCCCAUGAAUAAGCCCCCGUCUGUUUUCAAGCCACGCCGACCAACAUCGAUAGGCACACACAGAGGUCAGCAGCACAGCCAUUAAACACAGAGGAACGCAAGACCAUGUUUCCAGGGCACUGAUUGGUUGAUCUUUGACCUUCUUGCUCCAUAUGCAAAUGAGCCAGUCUUGUUUCAGCUCUGUAGUUGCAGAAGUUAUUCGAUAAGUAUAAAAUUGAAUUGUAUAGCUGAAAUGCAUUCUGUAGUUACAGAAUGGAGUUAUGUGUAUAAAAUGAAAUGGUUAGUAACUUCUGAGUAUACUAUAGAUGAAAUACUUUGGUUUUUACAGAGUUUUUGUUCUCUCUCUCUAGCUUUAAAGUGAAUUGUAUUGGUAUAGAAUUCAUUUUAUACUUCUAGAAUUAAAUUGUAUAAAUACAGACUGCAUUAUGUACGUAUAGAAUGCAUUUUAUAGCCAGAGAAAGAAAAUGAAAGAAAAAUCACCUUUUGGCGCCUAUAGCCAUUGUUCGUAUUUUCUGUACAGUAAAGUCUGUUCACUUUCUGAAUUCAAAGACAUUGCGUUAUGAAAUGUCUUUGAUACACGUAGGUAUAGAAGAGACAAAUGAGCUCCUGUACAACUCAGUGCACUUCCAUUAAAUUUACUCCUAACAAAAGUCCACACAAUGCAUCUCCUUUUUCAUUCCUCUACCCCCUCCUUUUCCGCUUAUUGCUACUUGCUUACUCGUGUUCUUCUGCUGAAUCACGGGUCUUAGUUCUUUUUACCCUAUUUCUCUUUGCUUUUUUUAUAUUUGUCUUUUAUUAGUUAUCAGUACUGUUCCGCUCCUUUGUAUGAUGUAUGAAACACACUGACACUUAUUACUGCAGUUUAGAAUGUACUCUCUCGCCUUCUGGCGAUACCCGGUGGAAGGUUUUGAGUGCAUUUCUCAUUAACGUGUCACUCUUUAUGUCCGUGAAAGCUUCCUCGCAAAUGGAUUAGCAACACCCUCAUUGAGUACAUCUCUGGUAAACCAACGCCUCAGUUCCCGUGCGACGGGUGAGGUGACGCCCAUUUUCUUUUGUUUGCAUUCUGUUUCCAGGUUCACAGUUUUUUCAGCAUGCCUGUUAAACGUGCAUAAAAAGACAAAAAUCCCUCGGUGGUUUUAGCUUUUCAGCAUUUAAUCGUGUACUUACGCCUUCGAACUGACCUGCACUUAAAAUUUUAUAACAACACCAGCUGUUUGCUAACUGCCUGUCUUGAUCUCUCGUAAUCGAAGAGAAGAACAGCACGGUUUCUAAAUGUCUUUCUCAAAACAACUGAUACGAUCAAGUAUGGAAAAAAACUGGCCAAAGAUGGUCAAGAUUAUGUGUCGGGCUAAGAAAGCCUUCAAAGUGAUCAAAGAAAUUUUAGUACUGCAAGAACUGCAUGUAAGGUGUGAAGUUAUAGCAUGGUGUUUAUGAUAGGGAUUUUCAGGACAUUCGCUGGCCUUAAUGUGAUCACAAUCUUUAGAAUUGAAGUAUAUCGCCCAUUCACUGAUUUCGUAGUAUUCAAAGUGUAAAUAAAUACUCCUCUUUAAAAUAUAUUUAGCGCUGUAAGAAGCUGAAUUUAAAAAAAUUUUGAAAGCACUUUCGUAUUUUCUGUACAAUAAAGUCUGUUCACUUUCUGAAUUCAAAGACAUUGCGUUAUGAAAUGUCUUUGAUACACGUAGAGAAGAAACAAAUGAGCUCCUGUACAACUCAGUGCCCUUCCAUCAAAUUUACUCCUAACAAAAGUCCACACAAUGCAUCUCCUUUUUCAUUCCUCUACCCCCUCCUUUUCCGUUUAUUGCUACUUGCCUACUCGUGUUCUUCUGCUGAAUCACAAGUCUUAGUUUUUUGUUACCCUAUUUCUCUUUGCUUUUUUAUAUUUGUCUGUUAUUAGUUAUCAGUACUGUUCGCUCCUUUGUAUGAUGUACAUGUCUCCUUGUCUCAAGCGCUGAAAGUACGCUCCUUGCGAGAAGGAAAGACAAGUUUAAAAAAAAAAAAAACUACACUUCAGUGAUGGAUACACAUUUUCUGAAUCGUUUCUGCAUCAAAUUUCGGGUUGAGGAAAUAUUUUUUAUGUAUAAACGCUUAAACACAAUAGCGGGUUUGUAACUUCCCUGACGCAAGUUGUGCAUGGUGCGUUGCAAUUCUGGAUCUCACAUUCUUGUCACACGCGUUUCGGAGUCAGAAAAAAACUGAGCUAACAAAAUUUACACAGAAAGUCGCAGUCGGGAGAGAUCACGAUAGGUGGACUAUAACUGACAUACAGUGUCAAUAGAGGUCACAGCAUGUUCGAUAUGGUACGUGUUGCAAUUGAAAAAAUGUUAUGGUAACACAAGGAUACCUGUACCCACCUUAGAUGACCACACUGCUUACCAGAAUAUAUCUCCUAAAACAUCAUUGUGUUGAAUAUUAUAGAGCUAAAUUCACUUGUCCAAGCUUUUGCCUACCAACGAUGCCCGGUUUCUUACAUCCACCAUGGUGUGUCAUAGACAGAUGUGUCAUGGUCAUGUGUCAUGGUGUGUCAUAGACAGAACCCAUGAGGUGCAGCCAGACUCUGUGAAAUGUACUGAUAUUCUGUAAAUCGCAAAGCUUGGAAAAGGGUGUUCGAUUACUCCUAUAUGAGCUGUAAAUCGUGUUAGUGGUCUGAAACUGUAGCUUUAUGCUGAAAGCUUUUAAUUGUGACAUGGGAGUGUCUUUAUUGGUAGCAUAUGAGCUCAUAAACAGUAUCCAAAGGUUGUACGAAGACAAAAUUACUCAUACAUAUUUAUUUAAAAGAAUACAUCAAAAAUUCAACAUACAAAAACCCAAGAUGUUCAAAAAUACAAAUACCGCACCUUUCUAGGAAGACGCAGACUCCACUCCUUCCCACGUAGUGUCUCGGCACUAGCCGCGUCUUCUCGGGAAGUGAAGCGCUGCCCCGCAAACAUUUAAUUUAAUCGUCUUCCCCCAUUUCUUGUUCCACUAUCUUUAACAACAACCCGAUUAGUCAUUCAGCAGGUGUGGUCAGCCACCAUCGCCGUGCGGGCUGCGAGCUUCAUGUUACCCUCUGUCACAACUUUCCCCCACUUUACAUAAAAAUUAUGUUCACAUCUUUACACUUUACUUACAUUCUGCAUCUGUCUCUAAUCUCAGUCGGGCGUCUGGCCAACAUAAAGCUUGGGCAUGGGAAAAUAAAAGAGACAAUAUCAUCCUCAUCUUCUUUAAAAAUAGGUAACUUCGGCGGGAGCUCUUUUGGAAGUGCUUCUCUAUAGUCCUUUCCCUCUCUAUCCUUAAUCUGAUUAACUAAAAUUCCCUUUUUCUCUCCCUUUCCUCUCUUUCUCCCUUAGUAAGAUUUCACUGACACUCUGUAACCAUAAACUAAUAUCCCUGGACUGCUUGCAGACGAUUUUUUUUCAGCCAACUACUAGAACGAGUCUACUUGCUAUAACGCUUCCGGUUUAGCCCCGACACAGAGAUGAGUUAAGCCGUUACAGUGUAUUUAGAUUUUAGAUCUACACAUGGCAGUGUUGACUUCAGACUCUGAUUACCUCCCUGCAGCUGCUUCAGAAAAAGAUUAAUUUUGAUUUCGAGCUAUCACAGCAAACUUAUCCUGGAAUACAUGCAUGGCUGACAUGACUGACAUCAGGCAUCUCCAGGAAGCUCAGUUUACAAUGACCGACAAGAGUUGUGUUGAUGGAACGAUAUUUCUAUCUGUGAAAGUUGGGCCAAUGCACCGAAAAUUGCCAGAUGAGCGUCCAUACUAAUGCCAUAAUAACUUUCAGAUAUUUUUGGGUGCAGAACUUUGUUGACUUAUCGAAGAUUCCGUGUAAUUGCAAGGCUGCAUUCACUGCAUCUGUUCAGUGUGUCUUCCUUUUAUCGUUACUGGUCAGCGGAGAGUGCGACUUCUCUCUGCCGUAAUGUUGCGCAUUACAAGUGCACAAAUUAAAUUAAGUCUGUAUAUUUACCUUUGCUGUCACUACCAAUUUUUUAACAGGACUACCACUAUCUUGAAUAUGUAACAAGCAAUCACCAUACUGAAAGCACAAUAAAGUACAACAUUUUGAGUAAAAAUGUAUAUAGAAAAAAAGCCAAGCCACGUUACCCAUACAAGCGGAUUUUAUAUAAGGUGAAUUAUAUGUGAGAACACUUCAGUGAUUGUAGAUCUUUGUGUUUAUGUGUGUUUCAUAUUAUUUAUCAUUUAUAAGUAUUACUGGACUGCUGGCAGACUCUCCCCCCUUUCCCAGUUAACUACGAAAACGAGGCAGGUGUUACAA
Molecule: long non-coding RNA, 9083 nt
Organism: Pomacea canaliculata
Lineage: Eukaryota; Metazoa; Mollusca; Gastropoda; Architaenioglossa; Ampullariidae
Exons: 4
Source: RefSeq, a predicted model, not a curated record